RNAcentral lists this ribosomal RNA (213 nucleotides) under uncultured bacterium. Its description in RNAcentral is "partial 16S ribosomal RNA". It matches the Rfam family "Bacterial small subunit ribosomal RNA", at positions 1288 to 1500 of the family's 1533-position model. The record is from RNAcentral.
UCAGUUCAGAUUGCAGGCUGCAACUCGCCUGCAUGAAGUCGGAAUUGCUAGUAAUCGUAGGUCAGCAUACUACGGUGAAUACGUUCCCGGGCCUUGUACACACCGCCCGUCAAACCAUGAGAGUUGGCAACACCCGAAGUCGGUAGUCUAACCGCAAGGAGGACGCCGCCGAAGGUGGGGUUGAUGAUUAGGGUUAAGUCGUAACAAGGUAAC